This 72-nucleotide transfer RNA is filed under the name Dipodomys ordii (Ord's kangaroo rat). It matches the Rfam family "tRNA". Rfam says of the family: Transfer RNA (tRNA) molecules are approximately 80 nucleotides in length. Lineage: Eukaryota; Metazoa; Chordata; Mammalia; Rodentia; Heteromyidae. The record is from Rfam by way of RNAcentral.
GAGGACAUGGUUCAAAUGGUAGAGCAUUUGCCUGGCAAGUAUAAGGCUCUGAGUUCAAAUCCCAAGACCUCA